Molecule: transfer RNA, 77 nt
Filed under: Collimonas fungivorans
Lineage: Bacteria; Pseudomonadati; Pseudomonadota; Betaproteobacteria; Burkholderiales; Oxalobacteraceae
Also listed under: 19 other names
Description: tRNA-Arg
Rfam family: tRNA
About the family: Transfer RNA (tRNA) molecules are approximately 80 nucleotides in length. Their secondary structure includes four short double-helical elements and three loops (D, anti-codon, and T loops).
Source: RNAcentral
CCGGCCGUAGCUCAACUGGAUAGAGCAUUCGGCUUCUACCCGAAAUGUUGGGGGUUCGAUUCCCUCCGGCCGGACCA